Molecule: ribosomal RNA, 456 nt
Filed under: uncultured Bacillota bacterium
Lineage: Bacteria; Bacillati; Bacillota
Description: bacterial SSU rRNA
Rfam family: Bacterial small subunit ribosomal RNA
Source: RNAcentral
CACAAGCGGUGGAGCAUGUGGUUUAAUUCGAAGCAACGCGAAGAACCUUACCAGGUCUUGACAUCCUUUUGAAUGGUCUAGAGAUAGAUCAGGCCUUCGGGACAGAAGAGACAGGUGGUGCAUGGUUGUCGUCAGCUCGUGUCGUGAGAUGUUGGGUUAAGUCCCGCAACGAGCGCAACCCUUAUCAUUAGUUGCUAACAUUCAGUUGAGAACUCUAAUGAGACUGCCAGUGAUAAACUGGAGGAAGGUGGGAUGACGUCAAAUCAUCAUGCCCCUUAUGACCUGGGCUACACACGUGCUACAAUGGCCGGUACAAAGAGUUGCGAAACUGUGAAGUUAAGCUAAUCUCAUAAAGCCGGUCUCAGUUCGGAUUGUAGUCUGCAACUCGACUACAUGAAGUCGGAAUCGCUAGUAAUCGCGAAUCAGAAUGUCGCGGUGAAUACGUUCUCGAGUCUU